This 206-nucleotide ribosomal RNA is filed under the name uncultured bacterium. RNAcentral's name for it is "partial 16S ribosomal RNA". It matches the Rfam family "Bacterial small subunit ribosomal RNA", at positions 568 to 774 of the family's 1533-position model. The record is from RNAcentral.
UGCGUAGGUGGUUUCUUAAGUCAGAGGUGAAAGGCUACGGCUCAACCGUAGUAAGCCUUUGAAACUGGGAAACUUGAGUGCAGGAGAGGAGAGUGGAAUUCCUAGUGUAGCGGUGAAAUGCGUAGAUAUUAGGAGGAACACCUGUUGCGAAGGCGGCUCUCUGGACUGUAACUGACACUGAGGCACGAAAGCGUGGGGAGCAAACA